GACGAACGCUGGCGGCGUGCUUAACACAUGCAAGUCGAACGCCGUAGCAAUACGGAGUGGCAGACGGGUGAGUAACGCGUGGGAACCUUCCUAAUGGUACGGAAUAGCCCGGGGAAACCCGGAGUAAUACCGUAUAAGCCCGUAAGGGGAAAGAUUUAUCGCCAUUAGAUGGGCCCGCGUCGGAUUAGCUAGUUGGUAGGGUAACGGCCUACCAAGGCUACGAUCCGUAGCUGGUCUGAGAGGAUGAUCAGCCACACUGGGACUGAGACACGGCCCAGACUCCUACGGGAGGCAGCAGUAGGGAAUAUUGGACAAUGGGCGAAAGCCUGAUCCAGCCAUGCCGCGUGAGUGAUGAAGGCC
This 360-nucleotide ribosomal RNA is filed under the name uncultured bacterium. RNAcentral's name for it is "bacterial SSU rRNA". It matches the Rfam family "Bacterial small subunit ribosomal RNA", at positions 28 to 416 of the family's 1533-position model. The record is from RNAcentral.